RNAcentral lists this unclassified non-coding RNA (224 nucleotides) under uncultured fungus. RNAcentral's name for it is "sequence contains ITS1, 5.8S rRNA gene". Lineage: Eukaryota; Fungi. RNAcentral also lists the same sequence under 1 other name. The record is from RNAcentral.
AAUAAUUUAGAUGGCCUUUGCUAGUUUUCUAGCGAAUGGUUCAUUCUUUUUUACUGUGAACUGUUUUAAUUUUUCAGCGUCUGAGGAAUGUCUUUUAGCCAUAGGGAUAGGCUACUAGAAUGUUAACCGAGCUGAAAGUCAGGCUUAGGCCUGGUAUCCUAUUAAUUAUUUACCAAAAGAAUUCAGUAUUAUAAUUGUAACAUAAGCGUAAAAAACUUAUAAAA